AAGUCGUAACAAGGUUUCCGUAGGUGAACCUGCGGAAGGAUCAUCAUUGAAUAAACUUGAACAGGCUGUUGCUGACUCCCUCAGGGGGGGGUACGUGCACGCUUGUCAUCUUUAUUUCUCCACUUGUGCACAUAUUGUAGGCCUGGAAUUAAAUUUGAUCAUUGUUCGAGUUGGUGCUGCUGUGCUUUCUUAAACAGAAGUCAGCUUUGCCUUGCAUUUCUAGGCCUAUGUCAUUUUCACAAUCUCUGAAUGUGUUUAGAAUGUUGAAGGGUCCUUUUGUACCCAUAAAUUUAUAUAAACAACUUUCAGCAACGGAUCUCUUGGCUCUCGCAUCGAUGAAGAACGCAGCGAAAUGCGAUAAGUAAUGUGAAUUGCAGAAUUCAGUGAAUCAUCGAAUCUUUGAACGCAUCUUGCGCUCCUUGGUAUUCCGAGGAGCAUGCCUGUUUGAGUGUCAUUAAGUUCUCAACCACAGCAAUUCUUUUGGUGUGGCUUGGAUGUGGGGGUUUUAUUUGCAGGCUUUUGGAAUAUUAAGUCUGCUCCCCUGAAAUAUAUUAGUGGUAUCUGAGCAGAGAAAAGCUACUACAGGUGUUGAUAAUUGUCUAUGCCUUGUAAGCACAACUGCGUGAACAGACUGCACUGCUUCUAAUAAAAUGAGAGAAAUCUCUUUGAAAAUUUGACCUCAAAUCAGGUAGGACUACCCGCUGAACUUAAGCAUAUCAAUAAGCGGAGGAAAAGAAACUAACAAGGAUUCCCCUAGUAACUGCGAGUGAAGCGGGAAAAGCUCAAAUUUAAAAUCUGGCGGUCUUUUGGCUGUCCGAGUUGUAAUCUAGAGAAGUGUUAUCCGCGCUGGACCGUGUACAAGUCUCCUGGAAUGGAGCAUCAUAGAGGGUGAGAAUCCCGUCUUUGACAUGGACUGCCAGGGCUUUGUGAUGCGCUCUCAAAGAGUCGAGUUGUUUGGGAAUGCAGCUCAAAAUGGGUGGUAAAUUCCAUCUAAAGCUAAAUAUUGGCGAGAGACCGAUAGCGAACAAGUACCGUGAGGGAAAGAUGAAAAGAACUUUGGAAAGAGAGUUAAACAGUACGUGAAAUUGCUGAAAGGGAAACGCUUGAAGUCAGUUAUGUCGUCCAGGGAUCAACCUUGCUUUUGCUUGGUGCACUUUCUGGUUUGACAGGUCAGCAUCAGUUUUGACUAUUGGAAAAAGGCUUAGGGAAUGUGACAUCUUUGGAUGUGUUAUAGCCCUUGGUCAUAUACAAUGGUUGGGAUUGAGGAACUCAGCACGCCGCAAGGCCGGGUUUUUAACCACGUACGUGCUUAGGAUGCUGGCAAUAUGGCUUUAAUCGAC
Molecule: ribosomal RNA, 1340 nt
Filed under: uncultured fungus
Lineage: Eukaryota; Fungi
Description: eukaryotic LSU rRNA
Rfam family: Eukaryotic large subunit ribosomal RNA (bases 675-1340)
Source: RNAcentral